Molecule: long non-coding RNA, 536 nt
Organism: Protopterus annectens (West African lungfish)
Lineage: Eukaryota; Metazoa; Chordata; Ceratodontiformes; Protopteridae
Exons: 2
Source: RefSeq, a predicted model, not a curated record
CGCUAAAGGAAAAGGAAAAAAACAGAAAUGUCAACAUCUAUCAGACAUAAGAAGACAGAAUGAGACAACUGCAUUAUCUAAUCACAUUAAGAAAUAAGUAACAUGCAAACAUGGUUCAUGGCUGAAGAAAAGAAGUGAAACAUUUAAUGUGGGCCACCUUUGGUAGCACAAACAAGCUCAGCACUGGUAUGCAGUUGUCAGCACUCUGGAUAGUACUGAGUGAAGAAAAUGCACCUGUACAUUAACUUUCCCUGUGACAUAAGGUAUACGUGCAGUGAUUUUAAAAAAGAAAGACAGGUGAUUUGGAGUUUAAAUCCAGUUUGCUGAUAUAUUUACAUGGGGGGAUGGUCUGAAUAAACAUUGACAUAUAUUUUGGUAUAUGAGUGUGUUGUUGUUGGAAAGUCAGCUAUUCUUAGGAUUGCUAACAUCAUAUGACCAGUUGCCUGUUUUAUUUCUUAUUAUUUCAUGUUGCCUAAAAUCCUGAUGAUGUAUGACAAAAAUUAAAGUUCUGCUGUGGCAGGGGGAUAUGAGAAGAA